Non-coding RNA from Paramuricea clavata, 140 nucleotides. Lineage: Eukaryota; Metazoa; Cnidaria; Anthozoa; Malacalcyonacea; Plexauridae. The record is from the annotation of a GenBank genome assembly.
GUUCAAUAUUUGAACUCUGUUUGUGAUUGGUCAAAAUUCAUGUGAGUGUGUUUUCAUUGGUUAACCGACGUUCAUCGGUUAACCAAUGAAACGACUCACAUAAAUUAAGACCAAUCACAAACAGAGUUCAAAUAUUGAAC